AGAGUUUGAUCCUGGCUCAGGGACGAACGCUGGCGGCGUGCCUAAUACAUGCAAGUCGAGCGGAUCGAUGGGAGCUUGCUCCCUGAGAUCAGCGGCGGACGGGUGAGUAACACGUGGGUAACCUGCCUGUAAGACUGGGAUAACUCCGGGAAACCGGGGCUAAUACCGGAUAACACCUACCCCCGCAUGGGGGAAGGUUGAAAGGUGGCUUCGGCUAUCACUUACAGAUGGACCCGCGGCGCAUUAGCUAGUUGGUGAGGUAAUGGCUCACCAAGGCGACGAUGCGUAGCCGACCUGAGAGGGUGAUCGGCCACACUGGGACUGAGACACGGCCCAGACUCCUACGGGAGGCAGCAGUAGGGAAUCUUCCGCAAUGGACGAAAGUCUGACGGAGCAACGCCGCGUGAGUGAAGAAGGUUUUCGGAUCGUAAAACUCUGUUGUUAGGGAAGAACAAGUGCCGUUCGAAUAGGGCGGCGCCUUGACGGUACC
RNAcentral lists this ribosomal RNA (490 nucleotides) under Bacillus sp. BacB5. RNAcentral describes it as "bacterial SSU rRNA". It matches the Rfam family "Bacterial small subunit ribosomal RNA", at positions 8 to 479 of the family's 1533-position model. The record is from RNAcentral. Lineage: Bacteria; Bacillati; Bacillota; Bacilli; Caryophanales; Bacillaceae.